GUGGGGCACAAUUAAGGCGAUGUGGAUAGAUCUCAUAUCGCUUCUUGUUGGUAUGACUUGAUCCCCCUAAUGCAGAACAGAUAGUGACAUUUCCCGAGCUUUUGUUGCUGGGAAUUUUGUUUUUCUUUAGACUAAUUUAUUCAUAUAUUCUUACAA
This is a long non-coding RNA of Telopea speciosissima, 156 nucleotides long. RefSeq lists it as uncharacterized. The record is from RefSeq and is a predicted model, not a curated record. Lineage: Eukaryota; Viridiplantae; Streptophyta; Magnoliopsida; Proteales; Proteaceae. The transcript is spliced from 3 exons.